AAUUCAAAAAAACUUUCCAUUUCAGCCUAGAAAAAAGGUAACACCAUUUCGCAGAACAGCUACUGAUUUUUUUUAGCCAGAACUAACCGGAUCCGAUGAAACCACUCCUUUUCCAUCAGAACCUCAGCCCGAAGUCCAAGCUGCUUGUGAAAAGACCAUUCAAAUCGAUCGGCAGUGAAAUUGUUGGCCCCAGCAACAUCACUGUCGAGGAAAAAAGUUCUGCGGAAGCACCUGCUACGAAGUAUUGGGUUUUUGGUAAUAUUUGGUCAACCUCAACUACCGAUGCAAUUUCACGGCAUAUAUGAGCUUGACAACUUCAUUUCUACGGAAGAUUCAAGCAUUGAAACCGAAAUCGCUAGCCAUCGGCGGAAGAAGGCAUAACGUAGAAAUGGCAAAUCAGCUGGUCGGUGGUCUUAGGCUCCCCGCCACAAUAAGGUCAAUGCCAAACGCAAGUGCAAUGCGCUUUCGUCUCCGAACCAUAACAGGCCAUUUUUCGCGGGUAAUCCAAUCAAUGGGCAGGCAAGCAACUCAAUGAUUCGGCUUUCUUUAUAGGGCUCUACUGGAUACUAAAAAAGAACCUCUACAAAUGACCAGAAGAAGAGCAAUGUUUUACUUGAGGCCCGAAUUCGGAAGCAUGGAGUG
Uranotaenia lowii is the source of this 642-nucleotide long non-coding RNA. RefSeq lists it as uncharacterized. The transcript is spliced from 3 exons. The record is from RefSeq and is a predicted model, not a curated record. NCBI's taxonomy places the organism in Eukaryota, Metazoa, Arthropoda, Insecta, Diptera, Culicidae.